ACUCUUUCUUUCCUUGUCUUGACCCUCUGGAUAUUUUCUUCACAGCAACUUGUAAAUCUAAAUCAGCAAAGUAACCUUUAAAAACUGCUCCAAAACCACCUUGACCCAACUUUCUAUCCUUAGAAAAGUUAUUGGUUGCCAACUCAAGUUCUUUGUAGGUAAACCUCCUUGGCCCUGCUCCUCUUUCAAGGUCAUCAUUCAUUGAAGUCAAAUGCAUAGCCUCUUCCUUUUGCUUUUCACUUCCUCUCUUUUCCUCUUUAGUAUUACAUAUGCUACCAAUGCUCCCACUCCUAUAAUUACAGCCCCUAAAGAGACUGUUAGUAUCACAACUAAUCUUGUAUCUUUACUAUUACUAUCAUCACUUUUCUCCAAAUUGGAAUUAAAUUCCCAUGACAAAAGAUUAUUUAAUUCUCUUAUGUUACCUAUUGAAGCAGAAAAUCCUAUGGUAACCCAUUCAGGCAAAACCUUCAUUAAAUCAAUUUCAUAUGAAAGGCUAGUUUUUUCUUCUGGAUUUGAAGUUCUUUGGUAUUUCCAAGAUACUGUUAAAUUCUUGGUUGUAGAAUUGAAACUAAUCCAUACCUCAGCAAUGUCUCCACUGUGUAGACUAGCAUUCCAAGGUGUAAACACAGAUGACAUGAUUGAAUUAACGUUGAUUCCCACAUGCUCGGUUGUCUCACCCCAUUCACCAUUGGGAAAAGAAUCAAACUCCACAAGAACAAUUUGGUUACUAGAUGAAACCAUGGUUGUCAUGUUAAAUAGGCCCAUAAAAGCAGUAGCUGAAUUUGGUGGAAUAUCAAAUCCAAAAGGAGCCAAAAAAAAUGCAAGUCCAUGACCAUGCCUAGAAUUAUUUUGAGUGUCAAUGAUAAAAGUGUAAUGGGUUUUGAAAUCAGUGACUUGACCUGUUUUUGAAUCCCAAAGUAACACCUUUCUGGAAUACAUGGCCCUUCCAACUUGAAAUGGAUACUUUUCAUAAAUGUUAAAAUCAACCUUUCCAUCUCGUGGUGCUGCUGAACCUUGGUAGACUAUGUUUGCAUCAUUAGGAUUAAAACUGGUAAUUUGGAAGUGAAUUGAAUUUGAAGGGAAAGUGAAGAAAAUAAAUGACAAGAAGAAAAGGGAAACGGUAUAGAAACUAGGAGCCAUGCCUUGAACUGCAUACAUUCUUGACUUGUAAGUAUAUAAAUAUAAAUAGAAAAAUGUUAUGUAGUAAAAGGAAGAUUCCUUAAAAAAAGUAGUAAAAGGAAGAAGGCAAUGAAAACAAAUCCAACAGUACAAAACAACAUAUAUGUUGACAUUUUUUAUUAUGCUAGUUACCUAGCAUUGAAUGGGUACGAAACCUAUAUGUGUAUAUAUACCCAACUUUCCACUCUUUGAAAAGUAACAUCAAUGAGAUGAGAUGAAUAUGUUCCCAAUUCCAACUUCGAAACAUAUAUAUAAAUAAAUAAAUGUUUCAUCUAUUUUAAAAUAAAUGUCUAUUAAAAGUUAGGUUAAAGAUGUUUUUAGUCUCUAUAAAUAUGUCAAUUUUUUCGUUUUAGUCCUUCUAAAAUUCUUCUUCAACUUUUAGUCCUCUAAAAGUUUUUUCAUCUUCACUUUUGGUACCUCCUUUAAAAUGAACUCAUAUGUAGGAUUUGUACUUUUGAAUAAAAUUUUGUAGAAAAUAUUUAAUAUAAGAAUCUCUCAAAAAAAAUUUUAGAAUUUUUUAACAAAACAUGAAUCUAAAUAUGAAUUUUUAUAUUUUUUGUGUUAAAAAUUCAUAUUUAAUUUGUGUUUUGUUAAAAAAUUGAAAGAAAAAAAAAUCGGAGAAUUUUACAAUAUUCUACACAUUUCUACAUAAUUUCAUUUAAAAAAAAAAAAUACAAAAAUUGACUUAAAAAUAGGGACCAAAAGUAGCGACUGAAAUUUUAUAGGUCUAAAAGUUUAAAGAAAAUUUUAAAAAACUAAAACAAAACAUUGCUAUAUCUGUAAGUACCAAAAAUAUAUUUAACCCUUAAAAUUUUUACUAAGAUUAAAAAAUGUAAUAAAGUUGUCACAAAACAUGACACUUGCUAAAGUAACUUUAUUAAUUAUUGAUGUAUUUUUUUAGUAAAAUAUAAUUCAAGAAUAACGUACGUAAUAGUAAUUAAGAGGUACAGUACAUUUGGGAAAAAAAACUAAUUCUACAUUAAAAAAAAAGAAAAAUAACAUUAUUUUGAAAUAAAAUUCUUUAUUAAAAGGACGUUCUUCAUUGUGAAAGGGGUCAUGAAAUAGGAAAUUAGAUACUCAAAAAGGGGCAAUCAAAGAACCAACAUGUCCACAACAACAUAUAUAGUCAACUUUAGCUUCUUAGUCCAAUUCAGGAUCUGUGUGUGACUCAAUCGUGUUGUCCAAUUUGGGAUCUUUGACUCAAAAGUAGUAGUCCAGCAUACUAAAGGAUUAGGGUCAUCUGCCAAGAGAACAUCCCCAAGUUUUCUAGAUGGAAUUGUGUUUAAUUUUUGUGUUUACGAAUCCAUUUGAGUUGGUCUAGCAGUUGGCAUGAGACUUUAGAGUGUGCCCUCUUAAGGUCUCAGUUCCGAUUUUCCCUGACCCCAUUUCAGUGAGUUAAAUUUAUGCAAAGUUACGCUUUAUCUUUGAAUAGAACUGUCGCAAAUGGACAGUAAAAUUAAACCUUUCGACUAAUUGACUCUUGAACCUAAAUAACAAAUUAUAAAUAAAAUAAAAAAAUCGUGUUCGAGAUAUAUGCGUUGAUCAAAUUACUACAGUUCUUUCCCAAAAUAAGAAAAGUGGCUGACAUCCCAAUUAUAGUCAAAUAACUAAUAUGUUCAAAGACAAAAAAAAAUAAAAAUGCAUACACAACACUGAUUUCUUUCUGAUAAUUUUUCAUCUCAUUAAAAUGUUACUAAGUUACUACAAAAUUACUUUUUGAAAAUCUCCCUUAAAUACUCAUACAUUACCAUCUUAAUUAAUUACCCCAAGUUAUUACUAACUCUACUAAAAUAACUCAUCACACCAAAAUCACUACAAUUCCCUUCAAUUCUAAGAUUGCUAAAAUACCCUCACUCAUCAAAUGACCAAAAUUCCCUUAAUCUUAAAAUGAUUAAAAUACCCUUUUCGUCUAAAAAUCCACUAAUCCCAAAUCAAACACACAAACACGCAAUUAAACAUAUAUAAUAAAUAAAUAAUUAAAUAAAUAAAUAUUUAUAGCGAAAAACGGGAUGUUACACAUAUUUGAUCUCUUAACUUAUUUGUUGUUUUCUUAAUGGUCCUUUAACUAAUUAACAUUAAGUUUUGGUCCCUUAAGUUAUUCUCCGCGAACUAAAUAAAUUCUCUCCGUCAAAAAUGUUAACCCAAUGUAUAAAGGGGAUACACAUUGUAAGUGGUCCAUCAAAGAUGUCGUUAAUUUGAUUAAUAUUAUCCGUUUGAUUUUUUUUCUUUCAAAAUGACAACCAUUAGACAAUGCAUCUAUACUAGAUGUAAUAGUGCACCACCAAGACCUACCUUUAUUCACCUUUCUUCAUCUUCUUGUCUCUUCCUCUUCUCUAUCUUCAUCUCCAUCUUCAAACAUUCAAAGCCAUAAGUGUGUCCUUUUUUAGAGAGAUUCUUAUAAUAUUAUACAUUUUUCUGGAAAAUUUUAUUAAAAAAAUAUGAAUUCUACAUAUGAGUUUACUUUAAAAGAGACACCAAAAGUGAAGAUGUACAAUUUCUGGGAGACCAUAAGUCGAAGAAAUUUUUUAGAGGGACUAAAAUGAAAAGAUGACAUAUUUAUAGGGACAAAAACAUAUUUAACCCUAUACAAAAUAAAUAAAUAUUUAAUAGAAAUACUGCAUUAUUUUGGGUAUUUUGAAAAUACACAUGAAUUUUUAAAAUUUAUCAUACCAACUUUCACCUAUAGAGACAUAAAAAUUUGUUUCAAAAGAUAUAUGAACACAUAAAAAUACUACAUUAAUGUUGAUAAUUUUUGCAUAUAAAAUAAACAAAUAUUGAAUAAAAACUCUACAUUAAUGUUGAUAAUUUUUAUUUAAUAUCUUUAACAUUUCACAAAACUAACAAUAUAAUUAGUUUUGUUAUAUAAUUACGGUAAUAUUAGCCGAUCCAUGGUUAUGCACAGGUCUAUUAUGAGUUUGCAGUAAAAAUGCAUACGGGUGAUUCUGUGUCAAAAAAGAUCCCAGCACCACCUCUUUUCGGUGAAAGAUGAAGAGAAACUUAGAGAUAAGAUGGAUUUUAGACGAUUAAUAUAACAUAUUACUCUAAUGUUUAAAAAAGAAAAUAAAAAAGUCAACUUAUAUAUAUAAUAAUGCAAUAAUAUUAAGAGUUACGACAAAUCUCAUUAAAAGAAAAGUGUGCAUUAAAUUCAUAAACCGAUAUUUGGAAACAUAAUUAGUCAAAAGAAAAAUAAAAUAAACGCAUCAUAAAGGGAUUGUGACGCAAAAGGAAGGCAUGCACCGGAGGAUGCAUGAAUCAUGACAAAGAGUACUUAGUAUUCAUUAACUCAUAUCAAAUUUACUUUUGCAUUAUUAGAGUUGGAUUCAAACCCAAGAUCUUCAAUUAAGCUUAAAAAAACCCUUAUCAUCUCAUCCAUGUGCUCAUGUGUGACUCAUAUCAAGUUUUAAAUGGAAGAGUUUGACACUAUAUUAAGAAACACCUACAUUUCUUAAACCACAUGCAUAGAAAAUCUACAUUUGUUAGAACACAUUGAAACAUACACACAAAUAGGAGAUAUCAGGUUGGAUCCCGAAUAACAACGAAAAAUAUCAAGCAUAACAAUGUACACAUUGUUAGGCUGGAUAGGUCUUAUGAACAACAACUAAAUAUGUCAUUUACUUAUGAGUAAAAAGACUUGUCAACAACAAUAACAACAAAGUCUUAUCUCAUUAUGUAUGGUCUGUUACAUGGAUCAAAUUAUGUCAUAACGUUAUAUCAUAAUUAAAUUUGGAUCCAACUCAUUAACCUCUAAAUCUUGCUAAUAGUUUCUCUUAUAAUUUUUCUAGGUCUUCAUAUACCUCUUUUGAUCCGACUCUACUUCAUCAGAUUAAUCAGACUAAUAAUAAUUUUUUUUCUCAUUAUAUAUAUAUAUAUAAUAAAUGAUAGAAAAUUAGUAAAAUACUUAAAAAAAGAUAAGAAAUAAUUUAAAAGUUACAAUUGUCUAUGGGAAUAUCUAUUAAGUCUUAAACUUGUUCACACACCACCAUCAAAUAUUUUUCAUUAAAAAUAUUCUUUUUCUUAUUAUAAAUAGCUAUUAAGUCUUCAACUUGUUCCACCAUCAAAUUGCCCUCCUCCCCCUUCCCCCUUCUCUCAUGGAAAAUGAUGAUUGGGAUCUCUUUUCUAUUGUGCGUAGCUGCAAAGCUAUCACCUAUACUGCUCCUGCCACCUUUUGCGAAACUGCAACGCCAACCCUACCAAUCACCACCAACACUAUCACAAAUAAUACCAUAUCCCCUCACAACACCACGCCAAAUUGCUUUGAUGAUUUUACACUUACCCUAGAAAAUAGCACAAUCCAAAUAUUCCCACUCAAACCAAAUGACUUCAUCGAACUAGACAAAUUGAUAAUAUGUUCCAAUCCCACAAAAAUUAUCCCUAUCUCUACUACAAGCGAUAUCCCAACCCCCUCAGUCACGACCACCACUAUCCCCACCUCGUCGUCCACUACCACCAUUAUCACCACCCCCUCGACUACUACCAUCCCUAAUCGCAUCACCACUGAUACCAUCACUAAUACUAGUUCUCAAGGAAUAUCAUAUCAAAAUUCUAUGUUUUUUAAUUUUCCAACACUCGUUGAACAACAACAGAUGCAACCAAGUGAGUUCACUGAGUUAGAAAAAUGGAUACUCCAAUUUAAUCCCACAACAACUAUACCAAUCUCCGCUAUCACUACUCCUAACCCCACUACCUCCAUUACCAGUACCCCCAUCAGCUUCACUGCCCCCAUAGCCACUAUCAACACCACCACCACCACUACCCCUAUCAUUCCGACCACCACCACCACCACAACCAUGAAUAACUCUGAGACAAAUGGAAUCAAUCAAUAUUCAACCGUUUCUAAUUUUCCAAUGGUUGUCGAACAACAACAGGUUCAAGCAAACCAAAAUCGAGUGUCUGUUUUCAACUCUAUUUCCUGCAUUAAGACGACAACCACCAAUUUUCAUAAUGAACUCAACCAUCCACUAGUUCCACAAGAACCCCAUAGAAAUCACAAUCAGCUACCGAUUCUACUACCCCAAACCAGUUCUACAACUUUACUAAAUACAAAUCCGAAACAACAAAAAAUUAAAUCAGGAAAAAGGUAAAGAAUUUAUUCGUACUAUUUAAUAUAUUUUAUAUGUAAAUAUAUUUUUAUUUUAUUGAAAUAAUUAAAAUAUUUUUACAUAACCCAUUUUUACCGAAAAUCAUCUUACCUUUCUUUUCUUGUAGAAAAAAUAAUAACCAAAUGACAGUGGUGAACUAUGUGAAGGCAAAUAAGAUUUCAGAAGAUUCAUGGAGAUGGAGAAAAUAUGGACAAAAACCCAUUAAAGGAUCUCCACAUCCAAGGUUUUUAUUCAUUCAAAACUCUACCAUUAUCAUAUUUUUCUUUUUUCUCAUAUUAAAUUUUUUGUUACCUAAUACACACACCCACACCCAAACCAAGGGUUUUAAUUAGUGACCACAUGCAUUUUGAUCAUUCCCAUUGAAAAUAAUUUUAGUUAAAUGUGACAAAUAUAGUCUUAAUAGCGGUUGCGUUUUCUUUUCAAUUCCAAAAGAAUAAAAAAUUGUUACUCUCUUCUUUUCAGUGAGAGACACAUUUGCAAAAUAUAUUUUUUCUCACAAAAUAAAUGUCACUUUCAAUUUUUUUAUGUAACAAGAUUAGUUUUUAUAUUAAUAUGUUUGUAUAUGUAUCAUCUUUUGUUUUUUUAAUUACAGUAUCAUCUUUUGUUUAGUAAAACAAAAGUAUCAUUUUUUGCUUUUAACCUAUUUGAUUUUUUGUUUUUGUUUUUGACUAUCACAAAUAUUCCCUUUUGUUCUUUAUUGCUUGGUAUUUGUUUUAGUUCGUGCAAUUUUGUUUUAUAUUAAAUUUGGUUCCUUUAAUAUUAAUUUUUAACCCUUACAUUAAUGGGCUGAAAUCAAAUAUUUAAUCCUUGUGAGGUUAGCUCGGUUGGUAGGGACAAUGCAUAAUAUAUGUAAUGUCCGACGUUCGAAUUCUGGAUACCACCAAAAAAAAGAAAUCAAAUAUUAAAAAAAUUUAAUAUAUUUAAAAAAAUUAGAAAGACUAAAUUUUUAAAAAAUUAUAUAUUUUUAGGGAACAGAAACAUAUUUAAAUCUCACUUAUUUUUCAGACUUGUAAAAUUUAAUGAAUAUUAAGUGCAUCAUUCACAUGUCUAUAUCUUUCACUUUAGAAUUGUAAAACUCCUAUUUUCCCUUACAUUUACAACAUUUUUUAAUGUCUUAUUUCAUGUAUCGUGGGAUUGUAAAGAUAUUUUUUGAAAGCAUCGCCUAUUUAUAUAGUAUUUGUCUAUAUGAUUUUAGCCAUUAAAAUGUUACGAUUUGGUGAUAUUUGAUAUAAAAACAAUGAAUGAAUGACUUUUCAGGAGCUACUUUAAAUGUAGCAGUUUCAAUGAUUGUUUAGCAAAAAAAUUAGUGGAAAAAAUAAACACUGGAGAGGACACUUAUGAAGUGACAUAUAUAGGAGAACACAAUCACAAAAAACCAGCAAAUAAUCGGAAUUCCAUUGUUGGUACCUCCUGCUGGAAUAUGUCAUCAAAUUCAGGAUUAGAUGUUGUUCGAGAAGUUGGAUGUUGCUCAAAUGUUAGAAACUUGGGUUUUCCUGGUGAAUCAAACAUGCCUUAUCUCAAAAAUGAAGUUAUCAAAAAUGCUGGAAAAUUGGAUUCAUCUGACAUGAUAAUGGUGCCGUUUGAUGAGCUAGAGAGAGAAAAUUCUAAUAUUUUUUCAGAUGAAUCAAAAAUCCCUGAUAGAGAAGCAAAAUUGAUUGAAAGCUCGAAUGAAGACGACAUUUUAAUCCCAAACAUGACAAAUAUGUUAGAUGAUUUCUUUUUGAAUUUCAACAACAUCAACAAUGGUUCUCCAUUCUGCUAGUUGGGUUUAACCCAAAUAAUUUAUCCGGUUUGAGUAUAUUUAGUUUUGAGUCGUCCUCUAAGUAAUAUAUGAUUCAAUAAAUCUUCUAAGUAAUGUAAUAUGACACAAAUUAAUAUAUGAAUCAAUAGUUUUGAGCCAUCCUUUGUAGUGUGAUCAAUCGCCAAAUUUAAUUUAAUUAUUUAAUUUAAAUAGUUUCAAUUUAAUAAUUUAAUAAUAAUAAAGUGUGUGUUUUUUAGCAUAAUAAUAAAGUGUGUUUAUUAUUGUUAACAAUUGGUGAAUAGUUAUGGCCUUAAUCCUUUUGUUUUAAUUUAUUUUGAAAAUUAAAAAAUACAGCCGGCAUGUCAUUGCUCUCGUUUGAAUUUUGUAUGUACAUUCUCUUAUCAUACACUCCCUUGUAUGUAAAACGAUUAUUUUUUAAAUGUAAUAUAAUUAGAAAGUAAGAAGGAAAAAGUUAUACAUAGCGUGACAACAUCCUUAGAUUAGAGGUCAGCUUGGAGAAGCAUGACCAUUCAUAAGAUUAGUUAAGAUUCUCUUACCGACUUGAGAGAAUUAUGUGUUAGGUGGCUAUAACCAUCUCACAUUUAUUUAUAUAUUAUGCAUGUUUGUAUGUUUUGAGAGACGUUUGCAUGUGAUACAUAAGCCGUGGUGAGGUGAGAUUAAAAUCCUUCAAAAAAAUUAAGCUGAUUGUUUUCUAAAGGAUAACAUUCUUCAGGAUUAAUAUCAAAGUGUGUAAGUUCGCUUCUGUGACGUACAUUUUCUAUACUAAAGUUACAAUGUGGUAACUUCUAAGAUACCAAAUUUGUAUUCCUUAGAUCUAAAUUAACAAAAUUAUUUUAAUAAGACAAGAUUAAAGUAGCAACGGGUUGGGGGAAAAUUUAUACGAUAGAUAAACGAAGGAAUUACUCAACCUAAUUGAUUUGAAAGUUGUAUAAGAUAAAAUAUAGAGGAGUUCCUAUCUAAAUAACUAAAUUUUGAGGGAUCAUCCCUCAGACUCAAAAAUGAAGUGAAAUCUGUAUUGUAAUGCACUAGAAAAUACUCCUUGAGAAGGAUUAGUUAUAUAUAACAAAUUUUUUCGAUAGCACCGAAACUUGAAGAUUUUCCUUAAACGUGAGAAGAAACUGUAUGUUCUAUCUUAAUGGACCAACUCCUGAAGAGGAACUACCCACUUCUACUUUAAAGGAUGCAAGAGAUGCUUAUAAGAAGCAUGUUGACGACGCUCUAGAAUUUUGUUGCAUCAUGCUAGCAACCAUGAACUAUGAGAUUCAGAAGCAACACAUGUGACGCCUCAAACCCUAAAUAACAUAUUUAAAGUUUAUUAGACUUUCCAUCCGUGCGGCGCACGGAUCAUAUACAUUGUAGAUGUAGCAGACAAAAACAAAUCUCAAUGCAUAUCAAAGAGAAUGAAAUAUGUGGUCCCAAAUAUACGCAGAUGUUGGAAUUCGAACCUCAUACACCACACUUAUUCACCUUAAAAAUAUUAAUUUUUAUCAAUCGUGUGUUACUUCAUUCUUUUGUUAAAAUUAUAUGUCAAUGUUAUAUUAUUGGUAUGUUACUUCAUAUUUUUUUUUUUUGACAAAAUGUUACUUCAUUCUUUUGUAAAAAUUAUAUGNNNNNNNNNNNNNNNNNNNNNNNNNNNNNNNNNNNNNNNNNNNNNNNNNNNNNNNNNNNNNNNNNNNNNNNNNNNNNNNNNNNNNNNNNNNNNNNNNNNNNNNNNNNNNNNNNNNNNNNNNNNNNNNNNNNNNNNNNNNNNNNNNNNNNNNNNNNNNNNNNNNNNNNNNNNNNNNNNNNNNNNNNNNNNNNNNNNNNNNNNNNNNNNNNNNNNNNNNNNNNNNNNNNNNNNNNNNNNNNNNNNNNNNNNNNNNNNNNNNNNNNNNNNNNNNNNNNNNNNNNNNNNNNNNNNNNNNNNNNNNNNNNNNNNNNNNNNNNNNNNNNNNNNNNNNNNNNNNNNNNNNNNNNNNNNNNNNNNNNNNNNNNNNNNNNNNNNNNNNNNNNNNNNNNNNNNNNNNNNNNNNNNNNNNNNNNNNNNNNNNNNNNNNNNNNNNNNNNNNNNNNNNNNNNNNNNNNNNNNNNNNNNNNNCAUUAGGGUUAAAACAGUAAAAUUAUGCAAUAGGGUUUAGGUUAAAAUUAGGGCUUACUUUAAUAUAUAAGAAGAUAAGAAGAUUAGGUGAGAGCAUUAGGGUUGUUCAUGAAAAUAGGAGAUUAGGUGUGAACAUUAGGGUUAAAACAGUAAAAUUAUGCAAUAAAGUUUAGGUUAAAAUUAGGGCUUACAUGUUAACUGAAGAUAUGUAAAAAAGAUAGUAUAACGAGGAUAUAAAUAUAAGUUUAAAAAAUUAUUUUCAAAAGGUAAAGGAUAUCACGACCCAUUUACAUAAUCUUCGAUUGAAGAUUUCAAAUUUCAUUAUAAUAAAUUUUGGCUUAAUAACUGAUGACAAAUCAUCUUACGUUAUUCUUAGCAUGUUUUUCAGUAGGUUUUACCAGGAAAACAGAGGAGUAUUAGAGUAAUUGCCUAUGAUUUCGGGACAUCGGGACAUUUGUAAUGUUUUCUAUAUUUGAGUAUGUAAUCAGAGUUUUACACUGAAGUGCAUGGGCGCUUCGGAAAAGGCCUUGGCACAUAAAUGCGGUUUAGAAAGCUCCUGGCGCAUGGUUGCCUAAGGCAUAAACGCCCAGGCGCAUGCCUAAAGCGCGUGGUGCAUGUUGACUUGCGAAGAAAAUCACUUUUUGUGACUUUUUCGCUCUUGGAAAACCCAUACUUAAUUUAGACCAAGUCAGGUUAAAACUUUCCCUAUAUAAAUAUCGCCUUCCUCAUUCAUAAUUUCUCGUUCAUAAAUGGAGCAGUUCAAGAGGAAGGCGAUUCUAUCUUCUCCUAUCUUUUCUAGGGUAUUUUUUUUUUUUGUUUUUUGUAUCUUGUAUUUAGUUACCAUGUGUAACUAAGUAGUUAUAGGUUAGAGUUAUAAGAUUAACUCCUAUUUAUUUUUUUGGAUAAUUAUUUAAUUAUAUGUCGUUUAUUUAGUUAUUUUAUUUUCGCUAUUUAGUUUUACUAGUCUAGAUUUAUUUAUGUAGUAGACGCAACCCUAGAUUAUAUACUUAGGUUGUAACAUGGCCUAACAUUAUUGUUACUAUAUGGAUGUUUAUAUCUUUAAAUUUAUGUCCUUAUACUAAUAACUAUCUAGUAAUUAAUUAAUAGCUAGUGAAAGAUAAAACGAGUUGACCCUAGUAGUAAGUACUUAGGAGGUGACAUUAAUAAUAUUGAGUAAAAUCUACUGAACCUAGGUGGUAACUAGUUAGAGAUUAAGGAAACAAUCGGUUGCUUGAAGGAAAUAAUUUGAACUUAAUAUAACCGUUCUCCUCGACCCUUGGUAAGGUAGACGUUGAUAGGGCAUACCUUUUUUGUAGAACUAUUGAGUGGGAGAGUGUGUGUUGAGAUACUUAAGAUUCAUGGAUGGGCUAACUUAAUGGAACUUUGGCACUUCAUAGCCUUAGGAAAAACCGGAAGGCCAAUUUAAGUUCAUGCUUCAAUUACCUUUGAAUUUACAAGACCCCACACGUAAAGAUCACCUUGUAUAAUCAACUAGAAGAGUAAGCCCCACAUGUAAGGAUCACCAUGCGAUCAUCAGGUGCAACUUGACGACUGACUAAGUUAGAAACGUCCAACAACCUCAUCACUUACAUAGUUCACUUAGACUAAUUAGAUGCGACAUAUAUGAUAAUUAAAUAUCCAACAAAUAAAUAGGGGGGAUUUGAAAAAUGCUCUAAUCGCUGUUACUUUUCUACAGCUUAAAACAAGUAACUUGCUCUGUUUUAAAUAGAUAAAAAUUGCAAAUCUCUUAAUCCUUAUCUCUUUAUUUUAUUGUCAACUUCAAAUAAGUAAGAGGAGUUAUUUGGACAAAACUAUAAUCCCUAUGGAUACGAUACUCACUUAUCACUUUUUUAUUUGGUAAACGAUUUGAUACACUUGCCUAAUCCGACCAUCAAUACCUAACUUUGGAAAAUCACAAAAGUUUUACCAAUUUAUUUAUAGAUACACGCGUAAAAUACAAUACAUUCGUUAAAACUCGAUGUCACCUAUUAAAGAAAACGAUGUCUUAAUAACAAAAGAGGAACAUAAUAAAUUUUUUAAGAGAAGCUUUCACUUUAGUACAAGAUAUUUAAACAUAUCCUGAAAUAACAACAAUUUUGCAAACGGAGGUCCAAGGCAAACAAACACAAAUAACAAAAGGGUGAAUUUCGAAAACAUAUAACAAUAUCAAACAACUGAGAAGAACACGCAAGAAAUCAAAUUAAAACCAUAUCAUAUGAUCACAACACAGUAUUCAAAACCUUAAAGAAUAUAAUAUAUCACCUAAUUCCACUUUGGUCAUAGAACCAUCAGAGCAUAACACUCAAAAUUUUCAUGAAUAUAACAUUAUAUUUCAAUUCCAAAUAGUCACAAUAAAAUAAUUAAAUAAUAAUGUCAUAUCCUAAUUUUGGAUCUAAGAUCCCACUUUCACACUCCCUUUGACCCGAAAUAUUCUUUGAUUUUUCAAAGAAAAUUUCGGCAGAGAAGUAUUUUAAAAUACCUCAUUUUUGGUUAUUUUUUGGGCCCACUUUUUUAUGUUAUUAUUAGUCUUUUUUAUUUAUUUUAUUUCCAUCUCUUAUUUUAUUUUUAUUUCCAUCUCUUAUUUUAUUUCCAUCUUUUAUCAUGUUCCUAAUUGUAUUGCUCAUGUUACAUCCUAUUGAAAGUGAAAUGAUAUUAGUUUCGUUUCGUGAAAAAUAAAACACUAUAUUUAAUCAUGUGUUUUUAUUAUGUCAGUUUUUUCCGAGAAAGAAAAUCUUUCCAUUCAUUUUGAUUGAACAAGUCAAAUGCAACUAUGAACUUAUUUUUUCUUUUAUAUGUAGCUGUCACUGUUGCAACAUUUUUAAGAAAUGAUUUAUAUGUAGAUGGUCAUUGACGCAAUGUCCAAGCUUAUCGUUUCUGAUUUCUUCACAACUCUAAGCAUGCCUCCCAAUUUCUAUAUGUUUCCUCUCUUCUUCCUCUCAUUUAUUUUCUUCAUUUUUCCUACUAAUUCAGUACACUUCAAAAUUUCUAGUUUUCAUCCUGAUGAUGGUAUUGUUGUCUGCCUAGGAUCUGCAAGAGCUAGUGACGGACAAAUUAAUUUCAACAUAAAUGACGAUUAUUCAAGUCGAGUUGGAAGGGUCGAGUAUGCCAAAAAGGUAUUGCUAUGGGAAUCAGCCACAGGUCAACUCGCUGACUUUAAAACUCAUUACACUUUUAUCAUUGACACUCAAAAUCGUACUACAUAUGGUCAUGGAAUUGCGUUUUUCCUUGUUCCGGUGGGAAUUGAAAUUCCACCCAAUUCUGCUGGUGGCUUGAUGGGCCUAUUUAACACCACAACAAUGGUUUCAUCAUCUAGUAACCGAAUUGUUCAUGUUGAGUUUGAUUCUUUCGCAAAUAGUGAAUUUAGCGAGACAACAGAGCAUGUGGGAAUCAACAAUAAUUCAAUCAAAUCAUCAAUAUCAACACCUUGGAAUGCAAGUUUACAUAGUGGAGACAAUGCUGAGGUAUGGAUUAGCUACAAUUCUAAAACCAAGAAUUUGACUGUAUCUUGGGAAUAUCAAACUACCCCUAGUCCUCAAGAAAAAACUAAUCUUUCAUAUCAAAUUGAUUUGAUGAAGGUCCUACCUGAAUGGGUAACUGUUGGAUUUUCUGCUGCAACAGGUUCCGUUGGAGAAUUAAGUAAACUACUGUCAUGGGAAUUCGAAUCCAGUUUGGUAAAUAGUGAUGACAGUAUAUAAAAAAAAAACAAGAUUACUUUUGAUGUUCGGUGGGGUUGUAGUAGUGGGAGUGGGAGCAAUUGCAGCAUAUGCAUUACUUUGGAGAAAGACAAAGAGAAGAAAAAAAGAAAAGGAAGAGGCUAUGAGUUUAACUUCAAUGAAUGACGAUCUUGAAAGAGGAGCAGGGCCAAGGAGGUUCACCUACAAAGAACUUAAUUUAGCCACUAAUAACUUCUCUAGGGAUAGAAAGUUGGGUCAAGGUGGGUUUGGAGCUGUAUAUAAAGGUAACUUUUUUGAUCCAGAUUUACCGGUUGCUGUGAAGAAAAUAUCGAAGGGAUCUAGACAAGGGAAGAAAGAGUAUGUUACUGAAGUUAAAGUCAUUAGCCCAUUGAGACACCGGAAUCUUGUGAAGUUGUUAGGUUGGUGCCAUGAAAAAGGUGAGUUUCUUCUUGUUUAUGAGUUUAUGCCUAACGGUAGCCUGGAUUCUCAUUUAUUUGGUAAAAGAAUACCUCUUUCUUGGAGUCUAAGGCACAAAAUAGCACUUGAAUUGGCAUCUGGUGUGCUUUAUUUACAUGAAGAAUGGGAAAAAUGUGUGGUACAUAGGGAUAUUAAAUCAAGUAAUGUUAUGUUAGAUUCUAGUUUCAAUGUCAAGCUUGGUGAUUUUGGGUUGGCUAAAUUAAUAGACCAUGAGCUUGGGCCUCAAACAACAGUGAUUGCUGGAACCUUAGGAUAUUUGGCUCCAGAAUAUAUAAGUACAGGUAAGGCUAGCAAAGAAUCUGAUGUCUAUAGCUUUGGGGUUGUCGUCUUGGAGAUCACAACUGGAAGGAAAGCCGUUGAAGUUAUGGAGGACAAAGAUGGAGAUAAGGGAUUGAUUGAGUGGGUUUGGGAUCAUUAUGGAAGAGAAGAAAUACUCGUGACCAUGGAUGAGAAUUUGCGAAAGGAUUUCGAUGAGAAACAAGUAGAGUGUUUGUUGAUUGUUGGAUUAUGGUGUGUUCAUCCUGAUGUUAGUCUAAGACCAUCGAUUAGACAAGCAAUCCAAGUGCUUAAUUUUGAGGUUGACAUGCCAAAUUUGCCACCAAAGAGACCAGUUGCAACCUAUCAUGCUCCUCCACCACUCUUGAGCUCUGUAAAAACUUCCAUAACUACAAGCCUUCAAGACGGUCGUUAAUUGAUAAUUCAUCAAUGAACUCAUUUUCUUGUCCUUGCUUUUCUUCCAUUAUUUAUUUGAAGUUUGAAUUUGAAAAUAGAGUGUUUGUAAAAUAUAUAUUAUUAUUUGCUUUCGGUCUCUGUAAAUAUAUUAUUUGUUGUAUUUAUUCUUUGUAGUUUGCUUUGUUUCAAAUUAGGGUAUCCUAAUAAUGAGAUAGUGUGAUUUUAAUCCGACACUUUUAUUGAGCGAUUUUGAUUCUUUAAUAUAUGAAAAAUCAUAUGCAUCGUACAGGCAACACUGUUUUGUUAAUGUGUUAUGUGGUGAUCUUUCUAUUUUUUCAAACACCAUCUCCUAUAGAUUUUCCAGGUGACAGGUUCUUGAUCACAUGAGCAUCCAAGAGCCAUUCAAAUCUUAUUUCCCUUUGACAUGAUGAUCAUUUGUGCUAUCUAAUGAACUUAAACUUGGCAAGACACUUAUAUUAGGUGUGAAUUUCAAUUGUAUGGAUCUCAUGUUAAUUGUUGUUGUAAGACCUAGUUUGGGGACAAUAUCUAACACCAUUAGAUAAAGGGUCAUGCAAACAAGUGUCCUUAAGACCUUUGUUAAGGUAAUCAAAAUUAGUUGCUUUAUAUUAAAAACAACGAUUUUAAAAUUUUAUAUAAGUUGACUUGACCACUUUUUAUCAUUUUCCAACACAAUAUUUAUAUUUUUAUUCUCUUAUCCAAUGCAUUAAGGGCAUUUUUUAGCAUUUUCCUUAGAUAAAAUAAGUGUAAGUUUCCAUUGAAGUUGAGUAGCUUAAUUGGCUUUAGAAACUUGGAAGUAAAGUUUGGUUUAAAAUUGUUUCAUUCAAAUUCUUCCAUUAGAACUUUUCUUAUCCACUCUAACCAAGGUCGUGUUUGGAUUAGCUUAUUUUAGAGCUUAUGCAAAUAAAUAUGCAUUUAUGUAUUAUUUAUAAGUUUGUUAAUGUAGUUUAUGAAAAAACUGUUUAUGAAGGUAUACCUUUUGUUAGUGAGAACUUAUGAAUUAAGAUAAAAACUUAUUUAUUUGCAUAAGCUCUUUUUCAUAAGCUCAAAAUAAGCUCAAUCCAAUCAGGUCCCAAAUCAUUUGGUUUUUGAUCCUUACGGUUUUACUUACGCAUGGGUAAUAUUGCUCUAGCAUUAUUAUUUUAUCUAAUUCUGAUAAAAUUUGACUGAUUUGAAUUACGUUUUUUUUUUUCCAGUAUUCUUCCAUUACAACUUUUCUUCCAAUUGAUAAAAAUUUGCUCAGUGCCAAGCCCAGGGUAAAAGGAGAGGGUCUUGUUAAGUUUGGGCAACAAAUGUAAAGGCCAGGUCGUUGCUAAGAAGCAACAUGUAUAGCUCGAGUAAAAUGUCAAUGAACAAGGGUUGUUGCAUUCCCACCUGCAGUGAAAAAUAAGCAACGGUUUCCACAUUUUCGUGAGCGGAUACGGCUAAAGAAGUUAGUUCAUGAUAGUAAGAUACUUUUCGAAACUUGAAAUAGAAGAACCUAUAGAAAUAGUGGACACUGCGAUUUGGAGGAGGAUCAAUUUUAUGUUCCUACAAAAAACUAAGUGGGUGGGUGAAAAAGCAAGAGAAUUAGAUAGCUAAAGAUUUACGCUUUGGUACACGAAAAAAGUUAGAUCGAGAGAUCGGGUAGGAAUUAUUGUUGACAAGGAGUGGAAGAAGCAUGUUUUGGAGGUAAAAGGGGUAGGAGAUCGGAUCAUAGCUAGCCAUAAAAUUUGUAAUGGAACAAGAUACAUUUAAUGUCAUUAGUUCUUACGCACCUUAGGUUGGGUUAGCAGAACACCUUAAAGUAAAGUUGCGGAAGGAGUUAGAAGGAUUAUUUUAGGAUAUACCACUAAGAGAAAAGAUUUUUCUAUGAGUGGAUAUAAAUUGGCAUGUAGGGAGUGUAUCAAAUUGUUUUGAGGGCUUGCAUUGAGGGUAUGGCCUUAGGGCAUUUAAUGCAUAUGUAAUCCCCUAUUGGAUUUCUCGCCGGCUUUUGAUCUUACUAUAGCGAAUACCUGCUUCAAUAAAAGGGUUGAACCUUUUAUCACAUGCAAGAGUGAGUUGGCAUGUUUUUAGAUAUUUUUUUUUUCUUAUUACGAGAUCAGACAGUAAGAUAUGAUUGGAUUGGAAAGGCAUCCCUAGAAAUAGUUUGGGUACUCAACAUGGAGUCUAGGUUACAGAGUUAAGGAUCAUAUGAGGUGUGAAGAGAAUACACCACAAGGAAUCUCCAAAUAUCAAGUGGUGGCGUUUGAAGGGUGAAAAAUAAAGGAUUUUUCAACACAAUAUCUUAGAGGGAGGUUUCAGUCAUGUACAAGGAAUCACAAAUGAUACGUGGAAUAAGAUGGCACAUGAUAAUUGAAAAGGGGCAAAAGAUACAUUGGAGUUGACAAUUAUUAUUGUCAGAUGCAAGAACACGGGGUAAAAUAAGUGUUAAAAAUGAUCACAUAGUAACGGGAGUUGAACCCACAACUUUACAAACGAGUCAACUACUUAUUAGGCGAGUCAACCAUCGUUUAACACGUAUUGUAUAUAUACUAUAUUUUAUACGAAAUUUACUUUAAAUUUAUAUCAACUUAUAUACUGAAUAACUUAAAUAUACCCUAUUUUAGUGUGAAAUGUAUGAUUUUUUGUGUAAAUUUAUUUUUAAUUUAAUUUAAAAUAAUAUAUUUUUUUAUUAAACUUUUAUAAAUAUGUUAAUUUUGUGUGCUUAGCACAGGUAUCACUCUAGUUAGAAUCAAUUCUCCUCAACUAUGAACUAUUAUCCAUUCUCCACACGAUUUCACUUUUUUUAACGAAAUUCUCCGCAUUAUGUCACUUAAUAGAUUCUAAUUAUUUUACUCGCACUAGCAGUUUUGUCACUCACUAAAUCAAUGAUAUGUAACAAUAAUACAACAACAGGGUGGCAUUUAAAUGCCACCAAUGCAACAGGGGACUAUCAUACUUAUUAUCAAAGAUAUCACAAGUGAAUUAUCAAAGCAAAUUAUUUUUAAGCCAAUGGGAUAGGGAACACAACCAUCCGUUUGGAACAAACAAUAAGACUAUACAAUUGACAGAGAAUACAUUUUUAACAGCAUUAUGACAAAUACAAUCAAGUUACAAUCACUUCUACAGGGAAAAUAAAUCACUUUUUACCAAGCUUUAGCUUUCUUGCUGCAUAAACAAAAAACAAGAGUUGGGAAUAAGCAGUGAACCCACUAGAAUAACUAAGUACUUAAUCAACAUCUUCAUAAGCCAUGGAACUUUCAAACCACGAUAUUUAGGGAUUGUUGCGAAUUCGAUGAAAAAUCACACCAAUAACAACUUGAUGUGUGGAGCAAGGGAUAAUCAAGCAACCAAAACAAAGUGUAUGAAAAAAAUAAAUACAAGCCAAAAGUAGAAAACAACGGCGAGAAGAACACAAAGAAGAGAAGAACACAAAAGAAUUUGUUGACCCAGUUCGGUCCAAAUUGACCUAGUCUGGGGAGAGAGCAGCCCUCCGAUCCACUAUAUGAUGAGUAACGUUACAAAGAGAAAUCAAUGGGUUGCAAGAAUAAGUCUACCACCUAAUUCUACCCAAAGCCCCAAUCUCUUCCCGUAACCAAGAGAUUCAAUCCUAAUAGUGUUUCCCAAUGUGAAUCAACCCUCAAACCCUAGUGUUUGUUCCAAAGAGUCAAACUCUAUACAAACCCUAGUUUUGUUGUUGCCAUUCUAAACCCUUGUUUCAGCCCCCUCUAUCUCUCUCUCAAAGUUUAGCCUGAUACAAGGUCUAUAUUUAUAGUAAAAGUAUAACUCAUAAAUUUGGAACAAAUAUUACACUGAAGAUACGUUUUUUUUUCUCCUUCAGUGAAAGAAUAUUUGCAUCAAAAAUAUAAUAUUCACUUUCAAAAUAUAUUUGCAUCAAAUCGUUCUUCAUACGAUACAAAAAUAUAUUUAUUGUCCAUAAAUAUAUUUUCAGCACAAAAUAUAUUUGAAACAAAUCUUUUAUAUUUUUAGCAAAAAUAUUCUCCAUCCAUCAAAUUUUGAGUCAUACUACAACAGGGUGAAAAGUUUGGUAAAACAAAAGAAAUUAAAAACAAGAAAAGAAAAAGAUGUAGAAGUUCCCUAAAAAAAAAAGAUGAGCAAAUAGUACAUGAUUUUUAAUAAUAUAGAACAACCAUAAUGUGUUAACGUCAUAAAGUGAGAAUAUUGACACUGUCGUUUUGGGUGAAAUAGGACAUGAUUUUUUAAUUUCAAUGAGCAUUUUAAAUCUGUUAUUUUAGCCACGGUAAUUAGUCAUGAAUCCUCCCCUGUUUGUAUGUUCUAAAUAUUUGUCAUAUUUUUAUUAUUGUGAACUGAACUGCAAUAUAAAAAAAAAUAAAAAUGCUAAGAGACCUAAUUGUCCAUUUUGAAAUGAUAACAUAAAUAAAAAAGACUAUUUAUUUUCCCACUUCUCACGCGCCCUGCAAAAAUGACAAAAAUACCUCUGGUUCGGAUUAUAUAAUCUAAACCAGAUUGUUAGCAUUUUGCAGAUUAUAAAAUCCGAAAACUUAGAAUAUUUCAACUAUAAACUGCGAAAACUUAGGAUUAUAAAAUCCGAAAACUUAUGAUAUUUCGAUUAUUAACUUGGGAUAUAAACUUAUCAGAUUGUUUGGAUUAUAAAAUCCGAAAACUUACUAUCUGUGAUUUUUUGUGUGAAAAGAGGUGAAGUGAAGAAUGAAGGAAUUUGUUGAAGAUGCAAACCUAUUUACAGCCUAAAACAUGUCCUAGAUCAUAACUACGGUCAAAUAAAACGUUUUCCACCGUCCAACCGUCCAAAAAUUCAUUAAAUACACCACUAACCGUCUAAAACUUUGGUGAAACGCCGCCAUCGAAAAAAGCUGAGGGUUUUCAGAUUAUAUAAUCCGAACCUGUCUAAAAAAAAUUCAGAUUAUAUAAUCCAAACAAACUUAGACUGUGUUUUUGGAGGGUUUUCAUGGAUGAUGACAUGAAAAUAAUAAUUAAAAGAGGCAUAAAAAUAUAAGUAAACAUCUUAAAACAACAUAAACAACAUAAUAUUCUAGGAUGGUGUUCGAAGAGGUGCUUUUGAACUUGAUCCUGCAGGCCUGCCAACUGAUAUAUUUCGAUCGGCAGCCCAACUGGAUCAAGUUCAUAAAAACCUCUUCGGGAUUAGAUUUGCAACUAGAUCAAGUUCAAAAUUUCAUCAUGCUUUGUAUCUAUCUAUAUAUUUUUGACAGCAUGUCGAAGAUCUUCAUCAUUCAUUCAAAUAAAGAGCUAUCUAUUUGCGACCGCAUGAGAGAGAUCUUCAACACAAUGACAACAAUUUCCAUGUUGUUUUUGUGUGUGUUGCUGGUAAUGAUAACAUAAACACUUAUUUAUAGAGGUAUAUGGGCGUUGCGGACCACAGAAACUAUCGGUGCAAUGUGGACCACAUAAAAGAAUCUUAUGCUCAAGGAAUUUAGAUUAUAUUAUCUGAAUUGCACUUACACCCUAAAAAAUUAUGUUUAAUGAAUAAUCUUCAAAUUUUAGCGUUUAAAUGAACAUCUUUAGCGUAAAGUAAAACAUAAUGAAAAUUUAAAGAAUAUAUAUAUAUUAUUUAAAACAUAAUAAAACAACUUAAUUCAACAAUAUAUAACUAACCAUAGAUAAAACAUAAUUCGACAACAUAAAACACAUAAUAAAAUCAACAUAAAACACAUAAUUAAAUAAAACAUAGCUUAUCAUCACAAAUAAGCUAAAUUAAUGUCUUCCUAUGGUGCGUUGAAUAGUGCCCUGAUCUCUUCGUAGUUCCUAGGCAGGAUCAAACUUUUCUAAAUUUGUAAAAACAGAUCUGACCAACAAAGCGUCCAACUCGAUCGGCCCUCUAUUACUAUACUGACCAAAGAUUGAGAAUAUGGUUCUCACGUCGUCGUUCAUGAGCUUCAUCCGGGUGAACCACACACUCCUCGCUGAGUCGGUCGAUGGACGUCGAUACUCAACAUAAUCCACCCUCCGUGUGUCUUUGUAGUUGAGUUGGCGGGUAAUUUGAUCCAAUUGACCCUUCAACCCAGAUAGGGUGACAUCAGUGUGAAUUCUGAACAGAUGAGGUGGUUUGCCCCCCGUUGUAGUAAACUGCAGCUAGCUUGGUGUUUUGAUAAAGACAAAGUUUUCCAUGGUUUUUUUUUUUUUUUUUUGUGGUUCACCUAUUUAUAGAGGUAUCUGGGCGUCCUGGACCACAUAAAAUGCCAGUGUAAUGUGGACCAGAGAAAAAAAAUCAUGUCUUAAACAUUUUCGGAUUAUAAUCUGAAAUGUCCCUCACCCAACAUAAGGCACGAUGUUUCCCUCAUUUUCACCCAGUAUCGAAUAAAUUCAGAUUCUAUAAUCCGAAAACCAUGGGCAUGAUUUUGGAUUAUAUAAUCCGAACCAAGUAAGUUUCUUGCCCGGUAUUCUGCACCACAUAAAACACAUUUUCAAAAGUUUUUACCAACAUUAAUGACUUGUAAAACCCCAUUGAAACAAGUUUUUUGACUCAACAUUAAGUGUAGUUACACUCUAUGCACAAUUUUUUCCUAUAAAUAGUCUUCAAACUUUCACCAUUUCUCACACCGUCAUCUCACACUCUCUCCUCUUCUCUUCCUCUUCCUUCUACAACAAUGUGAUUCCAUCGUUGGUCUUUCAUAAAAAGAGGCUACUUUGGAAACUUAGGGAUUGUAUGAACGGUCAAUAAGGAUGGCAACGCGCUGCAAAGAAGUGCAGUUUGUUUGGGUGUUAGGUUGAUCUGUCUGGGUGCAAGGAUGACCCUCAAGGUCUCUUUCGCCCUUGAAAAGAAACAACCCUUACCCCAGCACCCCCCCCCCCCCCCCUCAACAUCUCUUUCUCUUUCCCUAUCCCCUCCUCCUUUCCUCCCCAUGAGCUUGCGCCACUAGUUUAGCUUCCCCGCCCCCUCCAUCUUCUUGUGCUGCAGAUUUAGUUUUACCAAUAUCAUAAAUUAGCUUGAAGUGUUUGAAUAUUCUAUGUAAUAAGCUUUAAGCUUCAACUUUAUUAUAAAUGUAUUGAUCUAAUAAUAAAAUGAGAUUUUAUGUGUAUCAUUUUGUCCUUUUAUUUUAUGAUUUUUGCAUCUAAAUAAUAUAACAUAAACCAAAGUCUAAUUAAAAAUCCGGUAAUAAAAGUCAUUUUCGGAUUAUAUAAUUCGAAAAUUUCUUGAAAUCAUGUUCGGAUUAUAAAAUCUAAACCAAGGGUAUUUUGGGGGAAAAAAUAGGGUGCGUGAGAAACACAUAAGGUGGAAAAAGUAAUAGUAAAAAAAAGCGCAAUCUUUUUAAUGGUGUGGUUCAUGCACGAAAUUGUCUAGAUUUGUUUUUCAAAGAAACAGAUUUUUUUUUAAGGACAAAAGUCGAUCUAUAAAAUUUUCUUACACUUAAAUGAAUUUUGUACUGUGAAAAAAAUAAAUUCACCUCUUAUUGUAUGUGUGUUCCUUUGGAUUUCUUAAUCACUUAACAAUGUUUCCGAAUUGAAUUGUUCAAGCUGGGUAGGUUGUACCCAUUCAACGCCAGUAAUACAACAUAUAUAUAUUUUUUUCCAAUGAAAGACUAAUUUUGGUUCGUGAGGGUCAAUUUAGUGCAUGGAAAAAAUAAAACCUAAAUAGUCUCUCACAUUUUCAUAUUAGAGACAAAUUAGUCCCUCUGUCAUAUAUUGAAUCGGGUGUUAUUUGUCACCAAUAUAAAAAGACAAGAGAUUACUUUAAAUUUUAUUUUCGUCAUGGAGUAAAUUGACAUGCAUGAAAAUUGUGAAAGACAUCUUCCCUCAUAUUUCUAUUUAAUCACAAAUGUCCACAUAUGUUGUUUUGUUAGAUUUGUCUUCAUUGCUUUGUCCCUUGUACUACGUAGGAAUCCAAGACAAAGAACCUUCAUUGAAAAUCAUAUACAUAUAAUAUUUCUAUUUGUAUUAUAACAUAAAAUAUUUGUAUUUAUAUUGUAUGAUUACAACUCAAAGAAAUUCAAGACAUGUCUUCCAGUUUCUAUACCCUUCCCCUAGUCUUCUUGUCCUUAAAUUUCUUAAUUUUCCCUUCUAAUUCAAUUCACUUCCAAAUUUCUCAUUUUAAUCCUAGUGAUGCCAACAUAGUCUACCAAGGUUCUGCAGCACCAAUCGAUGGAGAGGUUGAUUUCAACAUCAAUGAUGCAUAUUAUACUAGUCAAGUUGGAAGAGUCAUAUUUUCCAAGAAAGUUUUACUAUGGGACUCAAAAAUAGGUCAACUCACUGACUUCACAACCCAUUACACCUUUAUUAUCGACACUCAAAAUAGUUCUAGAUAUGGCCAUGGAAUUGCAUUUUUCUUGGUUCCUUUUGGAUUUGAAAUCCCACCUAAUUCUGCUGGUGCCUUUUUUGGUCUAUUUAACACCACGACAAUGAAUUCAACCAGUAACCUUCUUCAUGUGGAGUUUGAUUCUUACGCAAAUCGUCCCUGGGGUGAGACAACGGAGCAUGUGGGAAUCAACAACAAUUCAAUCAUUUCAUCGGUGUCAACACCUUGGAACGCAAGUUUACAUAGUGGAGAAACUACUGAGGUAUGGAUUAACUAUAAUUCUACAACCAAAAAUUUGAAUGUAUCUUGGAAAUAUCAAAACACCUAUGAUCCUCAAGAAAAAACUAGUAUUUCAUAUGAAAUUGACUUAAUAAAGGUCCUACCUGAAUGGGUUACUAUAGGAAUUUCUGCUUCAACAGGUUCCAUUGGAGAAAAGCACAAACUUCUAUCUUGGGAAUUCAGUUCCACUUUGGAACAAAGUGAUAAUGAUAAUAAUACAAAAAGGACUAGAUUAGUUGUGAUACUAGCAGUCACGUGUGGGAUUGUAGUUAUGGGAGUGGGAGCACUGGCAAUAUAUGCAUUACUUUGGAGGAAAAUAAAGAGAAGUAAAAAGAAAAAGGAAGAGGCUAUGCAUUUAAGAACAAUGAAUGAUGACCUUCAAAGAGGAGCAGGGCCAAGGAGGUUUACCUACCAAGAACUUGAUUUGGCUACCAAUAAAUUUACCGACGAUAGAAAAUUAGGUCAAGGUGGUUUUGGAGCUGUUUAUAAAGGUUACUUUUUCGAUCAAGAUUUAGCCGUUGCUGUGAAGAAAAUAUCAAGAGGGUCAAGACAAGGGAAGAAAGAGUAUGUAACUGAAGUUAAAGUUAUUAGCCAGCUGAGACAUAGGAAUCUUGUGAAGCUCUUAGGAUGGUGCCAUGACAAAGGUGAGUUUCUACUUGUUUAUGAGUUCAUGCCAAAUGGUAGUCUUGAUUCUCAUUUAUUCGGAAAAAGGACACCUCUUUCUUGGAGUGUAAGACAUAAAAUAGCUCUUGGAUUGGCUUUUGGGGUACUUUAUCUACAUGAAGAAUGGGAGAGGUGUGUGGUUCAUAGAGAUAUCAAAUCAAGUAAUGUUAUGCUAGAUUCUAGUUUCAAUGUUAAGCUUGGUGACUUUGGGUUGGCUAAACUAAUGGAUCAUGAGAUUGGACCCCAAACAACAGUGGUUGCCGGAACCUUAGGCUAUUUGGCUCCAGAAUAUAUAAGUACAGGUAAGGCUAGCAAAGAGUCAGAUGUGUAUAGUUUUGGGGUUGUUGCCUUGGAGAUCACAACUGGACGGAAAGCUGUUGAAGUUAUGAGGGAUAAAGAUGGAGAUAAGGGAUUGAUUGAGUGGGUUUGGGAUCAUCAUGGAAGAGGAGAGCUACUUGUGACCAUGGAUGAGAAUUUGCGAAAGGAUUUCGAUGAGAAACAAGUAGAGUGUUUGUUGAUUGUUGGAUUAUGGUGUGCUCAUCCUGAUGUAAGUCUAAGACCAUCCAUUAGACAAGCAAUUCAAGUGCUAAAUUUUGAGAUUGCUUUGCCAAAUCUUCCCCUGAAUAGGCCUAUUGCAACCUAUCAUGCUCCUACACCGACUCUAAGCUCGGUAGAAGCUUCCAUAACCACAAGUCUUCAACAUGGUCGUUAAAUAAUAAUGAUAAAUCUGGUGUUUGUGUCCGUUCUUGUUUUACAUAUGUAUAUCCAUUUUUUGUGUAUGAAUGUUUGAAGUUGGAAAUUAGAAACAGUCUUUUUAAAUAAUAUAUCAUUUUUUUGCUUUUUGUUUUUGUAAAUAUAGUGUAUUUGUUGUGUUUUAUUCUCAUUUGAGUGAAAACAGAGAUUGCCGUCUUAGCAUCAUGAACCUUGCUAAUUGCUAUGUGGGAAGAAUCUUUUAAUGAACUUAUAUUCAAUAAGAAACUGUAUUAUACAAAUAUACAAUCUAAACAACUGUACAAGUAAUCAAUAAUAAACUGUAUUAUACAAACUAAAAACAGAAUUAAAAACUAAGUUAAAUAUUUACAAGUUUUGUCUAGUUUGGAGGGUGAAUUAGCUUUUGAGAAAUGAGCAAAAAAGAGAAAAAUAUGUAAUUUCUUUAACAUGCAAUAUUUAAACUAAUUUGAUGUAGUUUGCGAAAACGGAGCCAUUUGUGAAAGAGGGUUUUACUGUGUAUGAGUUGGAAAAUGUACCAAAUCGUACUCAACUAAUAAAGUCGUGUAAGUUAUUAUCUCCAUAGUGAUUGUUGUUCAACUUAAUAAAUAAAACUUUAUUAUAAGUAAAUAAUUUAGAAAAGAUGAAGUUGUUUUGUAGGGUUUUAAUUGUCCUGCCCAAUGUGAGAUUAGUUUUUGUGAUUCAGAAGUUUAACGGCGAUUAGGGAAACCUUGAACCCCCCAACAUCCGUAUUAGUUGCAACUAACUCGGUUGAUUAUUAGUUUAUGACAUGUCUUUCGAUAUUAGAAAGUAAAAUAUAACCCCGUGAUAAAUCAGUGAAAGUUUUUUUUUUUUUUUAAUAUUGCCAAAAUUCAACCUGUUACAAUUGUGGUAUUCCCGUAAGAUGAUUCAUAGUCCUAAAUUCAUACUUAGAUUCUAUUAAAAGAAUUUAAUUGAGAAAAUAAGAAAUUUACUACUGUCUAGUUCAGACGGAAUUAUGAUUGUCAAUUCUAACAUGUUCUAUCUAAAAUAUGAUAUAGAAACAGAGAUAUACAAAUUAAAUCAGACACUUGAAUCAAAAACUACAUUAAAAUUUUUAUUAAUUGAAUCCAACAAAUAAGUAGGGUUCAUCGUAUAACCCUAAUAAAAGGUUUAGUUGCACAUCACAACAUGCAACAAUACAAAACAAAAGAAAACCACACCCUAGAGAGAGCAAUAGGAGGAUGGAGAUCCUUUGUCUUGAAGCUCUAAUGCUGAAACCUUGCUUUGUACCACCAGCUUUAUUAAUUAAUAAAAGAGUGCACAGGGGUCUAUAUUUAUAGUACUAUUAGCCUGCAUUUUUAUCUAGUGUUAUUUCGACAGGUAAAAGAAAGUUUAAAGCUGCAAAAAUUCUAUAAGUCCAUGAUUGAAGUUGCUGAGUUCGACAGAUGCUGAGAGUAUUCGACAUAAGCCAUGGUUCGAAAAAGCAUUAGAAGUUUUUGAAAUAAAGGUGGAAACUGGCAGACAGUUAUAUCAGCGAAGAAGUUGGUUUCAAGUGUCCAGACACGUGGAAGACAUGCAAUUUUCGACGAAGACAUGCAGUUUUUAGCAGUUUAGGUUAUGCAAUUAUUUUGGCUUAAUUGGAUUUUUGGUCCCCUAAGUAAUUAUCAGUUUUCAUUUUGGUCCCAUAAUUCGUAAAAUCAACAUUUCGGUCCCUCUUAUUUUGCUUCGUUAGUCAAGAGGGACCGAAAUGUUAAUUUUACGAGUUAUGGGACCAAAGUGAAAACUGAUAAUUAUUUAGGGGACUAAAAAUCCAAUUAAGCCAAUUAUUUUCUAUAUAUAUAUAUAUAGUAAUUUUUCAUACGAAAAAAAUGGUCGCAAAUCACUUAUAGAAUUCUAGCACUCGAAGUACCAUCAUCUAGAGAAAAGAGUCAUAUAGAAUGUGUGUAAUCUGAUUUGUCGAACAACCUUUACAUUAAUGCAAUGCAAUUUAGCUUUUCUUUAAAUUUUUGCGUUUAAACUUUUAAGUCUUUUACUUGCAUUUCCUUUAUUUAAUUUAUCUCUGUCGAAAGACAACUUUUUUAAUACACAAAACAAUUUUCUUCAUCUUGUUCAUAAAGUAACCUAUGAAUAUGAUGAACAUUUAUGCAUUUUAUGGAAAAAGAUUGCACAAUAUGAGACAAAGGGGCACAUGAGGCAGCAAAGGAAGAUGUCUCAUGUAUGGGGCGCAUGACCUAGUGCAUCCAGUGCAAAUUUUGCAGUUUUCAUCUCUUUUUUGAGUGUUUGUCCAUCUUGCAAUGGCUUGGAACUUGAAAUUUAUUUUCUUCAUUUUGUAUUGUCUUCAAAGACCUUCUAAGAACCAUUAAUCUUCAAUCUUCAUAUCCUCAAUCCUUCAUGUGAUGUCUUAUUUUGGCGAUUUACAUGAUUCUCACUAAAAAAACACAAAACACUUGUGAAGUUGCAUAAAUUAGGAUAAAACUGAAUUAUAACAACUCAAAUGAAAAGAACAUAAAAUGUUCCUCAAACCACUGACAACUCCUCCAAACGACACUUCUAAUUUUCCUUUAAAUGCACAAAAAAAAAAAAAUUACUAAAAUUAUAGCAUAAAAUAUCAUAUUGCGUUCCAUCAUCACAAACCUAAACUUAUAUCGUUGCUUAUCCUCAAGAAGUAAAAUAUCAAGAAGUUAUAAUUUACAUUAAUUUAAAAAUUGAAACAUACCUUUCAGAGAUGAUGAUUUGAUUGUGACUCUUCCCACUUCCACAUUUGACUAGUUUAUCACUUCCAUGCAAACGGGAAACACUUAAAGAAGAUACUCUUAAUUUCAACCACUUAUAAUUCAAAGAUACACGUAUCUACCUCCUAAAGAUACAAUUCAAAAUAGGGGUGCCCCUGGCAAAAGCAAGUCUCUGCCUAGUCACUAGGGUCUACAGAAAAGUCAAAUAAGAAAAUAAAACAGGGCCUUAAUGCAGUUUGCCAAGGGUUAGCCCUUGGGUUUGCAACCUUUUCAUAAACAUGUUAGCCCAUUGUCAAAUCCUCCUGCAAAAGAUGUUUUUUGUCCAAAUCCAGGGUUAUCCCCUGAGAAAGGCCCUGACAAAUGGCCUGCCAUAUCUGCAAACCCAUAUGAUGUGCUCUUUAUUUGAAUUUCAAAACUCCUGCUCUCAUUUUGCCAGGAGCCAACAUGCAAAAACGAGGGGCACAUUCAUGUAUCACCUUGGGAUGCACAAAUGCAAUUUGCGAAGGGCAUCUCCUAGCUUCACCCCACGCAAAUUUUCCAAGGGUACUUGCCCCUGACAAAUAUCCCUAAAAAAUUAUCAGAUUUGUUGUAGUGAUCACUGCCAGGUUGUAACAAUAGAUCUUAUUUUUUUAACAAGCGGUUACAACAUCCAAUGAUGAACAAGAAGAGCCGUUUAUGAACUACUUGUCUAAGAGUCAAAGGAAAAAAAGUUGAAUAGAGCUUAUUAAACCCGUUUUAAGUGUCCUUCUUUUAAUGCUCCCCAAAUGAGUACUGAAAUAUGAGGCAAAUUGGCAAUUCUGAAUCUAUAAAUGCUUUCAAAUUGUAUCUCUCUUAGUCUUCAAGUGAUUUCAUAUAAAAUUUUCAACGAAGGUAAGGGCUGCGCAAACAUGCUUGUGAAUCAUGGUCAUCAUAAUAAUUGAUUUUGGUGGGAUUUUUUCCAGUUUUAUGUGUGAUGACUUUUUUAUGGACCGUUAUGGGUUACCUAAUUUUCGCUUUCCGUAACUUUGUUUUGUCAUCUUUUGCUUUCCUUUUGACUUUUUCUUAUAGGGUCUUGGUUUGGCCCCCUCCUGUACAUAUUUUUCCCUUCUUUAUAAUAUAUAUUAUUAUGAGUAAGUAGCAUAUGAUGAGAGUUGCUUGGGGGUGCCGAUUUAGUCAGGAUGUCCAAUCUCUCCUUGAUAUCCUCCUUACUCUUACUCUUGAUUCAGUUAAAAAAAGAAAAAAAAAAAACUUGUAUUUAUCUAUUGACUUCUUUAAGGUAUAAUAUAUACUCAACUUUCACGCAACCAUAUUGCCACCCUUAACAUAAGGUUUUUUAUUCCUCAAACCAUAUUAUAUUUUACCUUAUAAUAAUACAUUCAAAGUGUAACCAUUAAAGAAAAUAUCAUUGUACCAGUCAAGACAAUAACUUUUUAUUAUAAUCUUAUGCAAGGAAAAUAAGUAACAUUAUCAUGAUUCCAUUGAUAAAGUAUCAAUUAACGACCAUCUUGAAGGCUAUUGGUUAUGGAAGCUUCUACAGAGCUUACCGAUGAUGAAGGAACAUGAUAGGUUGCAACUGGCCUCUUUGGUGGAAGAUUUGGCAAGGCAACCUCAAAAUUAAGCACUUGAAUUGCUUGUCUAAUCGAUGGUCUAAGACUAACAUCAGGAUGAGCACACCACAAUCCAACAAUCAUCAAGCACUCUACUUCUUUCUCAUCAAAAUCAUUUUGCAAAUUUUCAUCCAUGGCGACAAGUAGCUCUCCACUUCCAUAAUGAUCCCAAAUCCAUUCAAUCAUUCCCUGCUCUUCAUUUUUUUGCUUCAUCACUUUAGUAGCUUUCUUACCAGUAGUUAUCUCCAAAGCAACUAUCCCAAAACUAUACACAUCUGACUCUUUACUUGCCCUACCUGUGCUCACAUAUUCCGGAGCUAGAUAGCCAAAUGUUCCGGCCAGCCCAGUUGUUUGCGGCCCAAGUUCAUGGUCCAUUAACUUAGCCAACCCAAAAUCACCAAGCUUGACAUUGAAACUUGAGUCUAACAUAACAUUACUUGAUUUAAUAUCCCUAUGAACCACACACCUCUCCCAUUCUUCAUGUAGAUAAAGCAAACCAGAAGCCAAUCCAAGAGCUAUUUUGUGCCUUACACCCCAAGAAAGAGGUGUUCUUUUACCAAAUAAAUGAGAAUCAAGACUACCAUUUGGCAUGAACUCAUAAACAAGUAGAAACUCACCUUUGUCAUGGCACCAACCCAAAAGCUUCACAAGAUUCCUAUGUCUCAGUUGACUAAUGACUUUAACUUCAGUUACAUACUCUUUCUUUCCUUGUCUUGAUCCUCUUGAUAUUUUCUUCACAGCAACUUGUAAAUCUAAAUCAGCAAAGUAACCUUUAUAAACAGCUCCAAAACCACCUUGACCCAACUUUCUAUCCUUAGAGAAGUUAUUGGUUGCCAAAUCAAGUUCUUUGUAGGUGAACCUUCUUGGCCCUGCUCCUCUUUCAAGAUCAUCAUUCAUUGAAGUCAAAUGCAUAGCCUCUUCCUUUUGCUU
RNAcentral lists this long non-coding RNA (30050 nucleotides) under Medicago truncatula (barrel medic). RNAcentral describes it as "long non-coding RNA (MTRU_LNC006370)". Lineage: Eukaryota; Viridiplantae; Streptophyta; Magnoliopsida; Fabales; Fabaceae. The record is from RNAcentral.